RNAcentral lists this unclassified non-coding RNA (281 nucleotides) under Glomus sp. Its description in RNAcentral is "partial internal transcribed spacer 2". The record is from RNAcentral. Lineage: Eukaryota; Fungi; Glomeromycota; Glomeromycetes; Glomerales; Glomeraceae.
GUGAAUCAUCGAAUUUUUGAACGCAAAUUGCACUCUUUUCGGAGAGUAAGAGUGUUUCUGGGUCAGCAUCAGUAAAUUCGACAUCGUUGCUGUUUCGGGGUGACAUUGGUCGGUAAUUGGGUCAUCUUAAAACUUUGGGUUUUAAGCGGCUUAAAAUUUUCUUUACGAUUCCACGAACGUUUCUCGGAUUUACUUCUUACGUUUAAGGUAUCGUUUUUUUUUAGACGUGUCCGUUGCAUUGGGUUACGUCCAUAAAUAUUUCGUUAACUGACGUCAUCGAG